This 956-nucleotide ribosomal RNA is filed under the name marine metagenome. RNAcentral describes it as "bacterial SSU rRNA". It matches the Rfam family "Bacterial small subunit ribosomal RNA", at positions 8 to 1010 of the family's 1533-position model. The record is from RNAcentral.
AGAGUUUGAUCAUGGCUCAGAACGUACGCUGGCGGCACGCCUAAUACAUGCAAGUCGAACGAAGUAGCAAUACUUAGUGGCAGACGGGUGAGUAACAUGUGGGUAUCUUCCCUUUGGUGAGGAAUAACACGAGGAAACUUGUGCUAAUACCUCAUAAGUCUUUACGGAGAAAGCUUUAUGCGCCAUUGGAUGAGCCUGCACUUGAUUAGUUUGUUGGUGGGGUAAUGGCUUACCAAGACAAUGAUCAAUAGCUGAUUUGAGAGGAUGAUCAGCCACAUUGGGACUGAGACACGGCCCAAACUCCUACGGGAGGCAGCAGUAGGGAAUCUUGCACAAUGGAGGAAACUCUGAUGCAGCGAUGCCGCGUGAGUGAAGAAGGCCUUUGGGUUGUAAAGCUCUUUCGUCGGGGAAGAAAAUGACUGUACCCGAAUAAGAAGGUCCGGCUAACUUCGUGCCAGCAGCCGCGGUAAUACGAAGGGACCUAGCGUAGUUCGGAAUUACUGGGCUUAAAGAGUUCGUAGGUGGUUAAAAAAGUUGGUGGUGAAAUCCCAGAGCUUAACUCUGGAACUGCCAUCAAAACUUUUUAGCUAGAGUAUGAUAGAGGAAAGCAGAAUUUCUAGUGUAGAGGUGAAAUUCGUAGAUAUUAGAAAGAAUACCAAUUGCGAAGGCAGCUUUCUGGAUCAUUACUGACGCUGAGGAACGAAAGCAUGGGUAGCGAAGAGGAUUAGAUACCCUCGUAGUCCAUGCCGUAAACGAUGUGUGUUAGACGUUGGAAAUUUAUUUUCAGUGUCACAGUGAAAACCAUAAACACACCGCCUGGGGAGUACGACCGCAAGGUUAAAACUCAAAUGAAUUGACGGGGACCCGCACAAGUAGUGGAGCAUGUGGUUUAAUUCGAAGAUACGCGCAGAACCUUACCAACACUUGACAUGUUCGUCGCGACUCUAAGAGAUUAG